RNAcentral lists this ribosomal RNA (712 nucleotides) under Vreelandella aquamarina. RNAcentral describes it as "bacterial SSU rRNA". It matches the Rfam family "Bacterial small subunit ribosomal RNA", at positions 67 to 776 of the family's 1533-position model. The record is from RNAcentral. Lineage: Bacteria; Pseudomonadati; Pseudomonadota; Gammaproteobacteria; Oceanospirillales; Halomonadaceae.
CGGUAACAGAUCCAGCUUGCUGGAUGCUGACGAGCGGCGGACGGGUGAGUAAUGCAUAGGAAUCUGCCCGAUAGUGGGGGAUAACCUGGGGAAACCCAGGCUAAUACCGCAUACGUCCUACGGGAGAAAGGGGGCUCCGGCUCCCGCUAUGGGAUGAGCCUAUGUCGGAUUAGCUAGUUGGUGAGGUAACGGCUCACCAAGGCCACGAUCCGUAGCUGGUCUGAGAGGAUGAUCAGCCACAUCGGGACUGAGACACGGCCCGAACUCCUACGGGAGGCAGCAGUGGGGAAUAUUGGACAAUGGGGGAAACCCUGAUCCAGCCAUGCCGCGUGUGUGAAGAAGGCCCUCGGGUUGUAAAGCACUUUCAGCGAGGAAGAACGCCUAGCGGUUAAUACCCGCUAGGAAAGACAUCACUCGCAGAAGAAGCACCGGCUAACUCCGUGCCAGCAGCCGCGGUAAUACGGAGGGUGCAAGCGUUAAUCGGAAUUACUGGGCGUAAAGCGCGCGUAGGUGGCUUGAUAAGCCGGUUGUGAAAGCCCCGGGCUCAACCUGGGAACGGCAUCCGGAACUGUCAAGCUAGAGUGCAGGAGAGGAAGGUAGAAUUCCCGGUGUAGCGGUGAAAUGCGUAGAGAUCGGGAGGAAUACCAGUGGCGAAGGCGGCCUUCUGGACUGACACUGACACUGAGGUGCGAAAGCGUGGGUAGCAAACAGG